This 347-nucleotide ribosomal RNA is filed under the name uncultured bacterium. RNAcentral describes it as "partial 16S ribosomal RNA". It matches the Rfam family "Bacterial small subunit ribosomal RNA", at positions 338 to 682 of the family's 1533-position model. The record is from RNAcentral.
CCUACGGGAGGCAGCAGUGAGGAAUAUUGGUCAAUGGGCGCGAGCCUGAACCAGCCAAGUAGCGUGAAGGAUGACUGCCCUACGGGUUGUAAACUUCUUUUAUAAAGGAAUAAAGUGAGGCACGUGUGCCUUUUUGUAUGUACUUUAUGAAUAAGGAUCGGCUAACUCCGUGCCAGAAGCCGCGGUAAUACGGAGGAGCCGAGCGUUAUCCGGAUUUAUUGGGUUUAAAGGGAGCGUAGAUGGGUUGUUAAGUCAGUUGUGAAAGUUUGCGGCUCCACCGUAAAAUUGCAAUUGCUACUGGCAGCCUUGAGUACAGUUGCGGUAGGCGGAAUUCGUUGUGUAGCGGU